UCCGGGUUGGACCCGGCGGUCCCGCCAGACAUGGUAACUGGCAGCGAGGGUUGCGCUCGUUGCCGGACUUAACCGAACAUUUCACAACACGAGCUGACGACAGCCAUGCAGCACCUGUCUACGAGUCCCCGAAGGGAAGGCCGUAUCUCUACGGAUGUCUCGCGAUGUCAAGACCAGGUAAGGUUCUGCGCGUUGCUUCGAAUUAAACCACAUACUCCACCGCUUGUGCGGGCCCCCGUCAAUUCCUUUGAGUUUUAGUCUUGCGACCGUACUUCCCAGGCGGGACACUUAAUGCGUUAGCUUCGCCACUCAAAGGGUUAAUGCUUCGAACGGCUAGUGUCCAUCGUUUACGGUGCGGACUAC
RNAcentral lists this unclassified non-coding RNA (363 nucleotides) under uncultured Oligoflexaceae bacterium. RNAcentral's name for it is "contains 16S-23S intergenic spacer region". Lineage: Bacteria; Pseudomonadati; Bdellovibrionota; Oligoflexia; Oligoflexales; Oligoflexaceae. The record is from RNAcentral.